UGGGUUUUUAUUGAAUGACCAUGUGAGCUUUCAAUGAUUUUUCGCAUCAUUGUAGUGCCUGGAUGACCAAGACGAUCGUGCCAUAAUGUAACAUCUUCUGGAUUUCUUUUGAUCACAAGAUGUGAUUCUAUAGCAUCAAUAUAAGUGUGAUGCAAUCCAGAAGGAAGUUCUGGAAAUUUUUCCAGUACAAGGUCUUUGCCUGAUUUUUCAGAAGUUAUAUAUAAAUACUUCUUUCCAUUCUCAGUUGCAGACUGAGUGUUAUACCCUUG
Molecule: long non-coding RNA, 269 nt
Filed under: Brassica napus (rape)
Lineage: Eukaryota; Viridiplantae; Streptophyta; Magnoliopsida; Brassicales; Brassicaceae
Description: long non-coding RNA (BNAP_LNC004334)
Source: RNAcentral